CUCGCCCGCGUGAUUCCCUCACCUCUCCUGUGGCUCAGUGGUGCCCAUGCAGAUCAGCAGAGAUGGCAGAAGCUUCUGUGGCUGUUGAGUUACAGGAUCCAUUCCUGGGAAAUGGAAUUCUGUUGCUCUAAGGUCCUCCGAGGGGGAAGGACCAAGCUACAGGACACCAGAAACCCCAUGAUGCAUCCGAAAACAUGAGGCAAAUGCUGAAGGAAAUGCAGCAGGCAGGAGAAGAAGUGGAUGCAGAGGCUGGACAUAAGGCGGCGUUUCCCAGAGGAAGCAGUGGUUCCGUGCCAGCCUCUGCUGCAGGAAGAGAGGCGAUGCCAGGCACAG
Molecule: long non-coding RNA, 333 nt
Organism: Passer domesticus (house sparrow)
Lineage: Eukaryota; Metazoa; Chordata; Aves; Passeriformes; Passeridae
Exons: 3
Source: RefSeq, a predicted model, not a curated record